RNAcentral lists this ribosomal RNA (465 nucleotides) under uncultured bacterium. Its description in RNAcentral is "partial 16S ribosomal RNA". It matches the Rfam family "Bacterial small subunit ribosomal RNA", at positions 28 to 507 of the family's 1533-position model. The record is from RNAcentral.
GCCGAACGCUGGCGGCGUGCUUAACACAUGCAAGUCGAACGGAAAGGCCCUGCUUGCAGGGUACUCGAGUGGCGAACGGGUGAGUAACACGUGGGUGAUCUGCCCUGCACUUCGGGAUAAGCCUGGGAAACUGGGUCUAAUACCGGAUAGGAGCCAUUUUUAGUGUGAUGGUUGGAAAGUUUUUUCGGUGUAGGAUGAGCUCGCGGCCUAUCAGCUUGUUGGUGGGGUAAUGGCCUACCAAGGCGGCGACGGGUAGCCGGCCUGAGAGGGUGGACGGCCACAUUGGGACUGAGAUACGGCCCAGACUCCUACGGGAGGCAGCAGUGGGGAAUAUUGCACAAUGGGCGCAAGCCUGAUGCAGCGACGCCGCGUGGGGGAUGACGGCCUUCGGGUUGUAAACUCCUUUCGCUAGGGACGAAGCUUUUUGUGACGGUACCUAGAUAAGAAGCACCGGCUAACUACGUG